Phlebotomus papatasi is the source of this 73-nucleotide non-coding RNA. NCBI's taxonomy places the organism in Eukaryota, Metazoa, Arthropoda, Insecta, Diptera, Psychodidae. The record is from Rfam.
GCCUCUAUAGCUCAGUUGGUAGAGUACUCGUCUAGAUAACGAGAGGUCCCCAGUUCAAUUCUGGGUGGACGUA